GGAUAAGUGGUUAGCGGUUAGCACGUUCACCUCACACCUCAAGGGUUGGGGGUUCGAUUCCCGCCGCUGCCCG
This is a non-coding RNA of Ameiurus melas (black bullhead), 73 nucleotides long. Lineage: Eukaryota; Metazoa; Chordata; Actinopteri; Siluriformes; Ictaluridae. The record is from the annotation of a GenBank genome assembly.